CGAACGAUGAACCACUUCGGUGGGGAUUAGUGGCGAACGGGUGAGUAACACGUGGGCAAUCUGCCCUUCACUCUGGGACAAGCCCUGGAAACGGGGUCUAAUACCGGAUAACACUGCGGAUCGCAUGGUCUGCGGUUAAAAGCUCCGGCGGUGAAGGAUGAGCCCGCGGCCUAUCAGCUUGUUGGUGAGGUAAUGGCUCACCAAGGCGACGACGGGUAGCCGGCCUGAGAGGGCGACCGGCCACACUGGGACUGAGACACGGCCCAGACUCCUACGGGAGGCAGCAGUGGGGAAUAUUGCACAAUGGGCGAAAGCCUGAUGCAGCGACGCCGCGUGAGGGAUGACGGCCUUCGGGUUGUAAACCUCUUUCAGCAGGGAAGAAGCGAAAGUGACGGUACCUGCAGAAGAAGCGCCGGCUAACUACGUGCCAGCAGCCGCGGUAAUACGUAGGGCGCAAGCGUUGUCCGGAAUUAUUGGGCGUAAAGAGCUCGUAGGCGGCUUGUCACGUCGAUUGUGAAAGCCCGAGGCUUAACCUCGGGUCUGCAGUCGAUACGGGCUAGCUAGAGUGUGGUAGGGGAGAUCGGAAUUCCUGGUGUAGCGGUGAAAUGCGCAGAUAUCAGGAGGAACACCGGUGGCGAAGGCGGAUCUCUGGGCCAUUACUGACGCUGAGGAGCGAAAGCGUGGGGAGCGAACAGGAUUAGAUACCCUGGUAGUCCACGCCGUAAACGGUGGGCACUAGGUGUUGGCGACA
Molecule: ribosomal RNA, 751 nt
Filed under: Streptomyces seoulensis
Lineage: Bacteria; Bacillati; Actinomycetota; Actinomycetes; Kitasatosporales; Streptomycetaceae
Description: bacterial SSU rRNA
Rfam family: Bacterial small subunit ribosomal RNA
Source: RNAcentral